Molecule: long non-coding RNA, 2103 nt
Organism: Eriocheir sinensis (Chinese mitten crab)
Lineage: Eukaryota; Metazoa; Arthropoda; Malacostraca; Decapoda; Varunidae
Exons: 5
Source: RefSeq, a predicted model, not a curated record
GUUAAUAAAGCGACUGUGCUGACGUGCCUGGAAGUUAAUAAUGCGACUGUGCUGACGUGCCUGGAAGUUAAUAAUGCGACUGUGCUGACGUGCGUGGAAGUUAAUAAUGCGACUGUGCUGACGUGCGUGGAAGUUAAUAAUGCGACUGUGCUGACGUGCGUGGAAGUUAAUAAUGCGACUGUGCUGACGUGCGUGGAAGUUAAUAAUGCGACUGUGCUGACGUGCGUGGAAGUUAAACCCGUAUUUUGUAUUCUUUAACCGUACCGGCCUCAGCUCACCAGUUUGCAAAGCCUCUCGAUCGUGGAAGUUGCUGGGAUUUUCAUUGACUCUUUUGAAAUCGUAGUGAUAGUUUUACCCGACUUCUGCAUCUUGAACGGGAAAAUCACCCUUGGAAGCCUGGUUAUUUUUCUCUGUGGCCUUGGGAAUAACCGUGAAGGGAAUCCAAUACCUUUAAGAAUAUGGGUCUUGGAGCCGCGUUCACAGUCACUUUGUUUGUUUUGAUCGUUACCAAUGGCGGCGAUCGCGCUAUAGUACUACGCUAUAAAAUGGCCGAUGGGGUAGUGGCGGCUGCUGGGUUAGCCUAGCCCCGCACCUUACCACACACACUCAACACCUCUCGCUUCCUCUGUAGCCACCACUACCCCAUAGGCUAAUUUUACGUGGAAAACUAUAGCGUCGAUCGCCGCCAUUGGUAACGAUCUAAACAAAGUGACUGUGAAAGCGGCCCUUAAGUGUCGGAGCUGGUGUGCACGGAGUGUGUAUUGGGCACCUUGACAUUGCUUUGCGGCAGGACCAGUGCAGAUGUAUCAGUUCAGCCGAUGCGUGAGAAGGAUCGAAGAGAUUGACACGCGGCUGUUGGUUCUAUUCCUGUACGAAAGUAAGUGAAUUUUCUCACACACACUCCGUUACACGUUGAAGUACAACUGAUGCGGAAAACUUUUAUGACUUAACUGGUGUACGCUACUACUGUGUAAGUUUAAAUGUGCUUCAGAAUAUAUUUAUUGAGAUGUUAUAAGUGAUUAUGUAUUUCUAGUGUUAACAAGCCACGACAUCUGUGAUUCAUUGUUCUGACUUUUGUAUAGUAAUAAUUAAAGAUCUGGAAUAAAAUGGAAAAUAUAAAACAAUAUAGCUCCCUUUUAUUUCUAAUUGUAAGGUCUUCUAAUCAGUAUAACUUAGUAACGUCCAUUGAUCUGUAAUACAUCGCUAGUUUAGCUUUUUUUUUUUCUUUUAACCCUACUGCCUAUACCACCGUUUGUCAUUCGCCAUGCUUCAGCAAUUCAACUGCCUAACAAGGGUAUAGUGAACGAGCUUGUAAAGUAGGGAGGGGGGGGGGGGUUGUAGUCAGCGAGGCGGUGGGGAGAUGAAGUGCAGUCCGGUCGUUCAUAGUUUAUAUUAUUCUUUCUACUAUGACUUGUUAAAAUGCAGUUCAAAUUAAAUUCUUCUCACAUUUUGGUUCUCUCAAUUACCCAAAGUGAACUCUCGGACUCUCGGUCAGUGUUUCGCAUUGCGGCGAAGAAGCGAGUGAUCUGCUGGGCUGUGUGCAACUUUCCGGGGCAGGAUGACGUGACGGCAAGCUACCAUCCCCAGAGACUAUCACAUUACGCAAACAGUGCUUCAGCAUUCUGUGGCUCAAUGCAACUCUGAAGGUGUUGCCAUGCAGGACGUGGCCAGGGUAGUGUUGCAAGCCUUCUCAAGUAAAGUGGUUUUAUCCAGUUCCAUGACUGUCGUCAAGAGACACUUAGAGUAGGGCGAGUUGAUCCUUGUUAGGGAAAGACUUUGAACUUACCAUCAAUCUGUGUGCGCACGUAUUUCCAAGAGAAAGAAGCCGAGGAUGAAAGGGGAACAAAAACAUCCUGUGAAAUUACUUAACUUCAAGAAUUGAUAAGAAUAAGAAUUAAAGAUUUCCAAGAGAAAGAAGCCGAGGAUGAAAGGGGAACAAAAACAUCCUGUGAAAUUACUUAACUUCAAGAAUUGAUAAGAAUAAGAAUUAAAGAUCCGCUGCGUGCCGUCAGGGUCCAGCGUCACUGAUACCUUCUUCAGGGUCUUGUUGCCGCAGUGGGGACAGAAGAUCUGAGGAAAUAAUAAAUAUAAAGAAACCGCCAA